Long non-coding RNA from Mus musculus (house mouse), 1560 nucleotides. RefSeq annotates it as RIKEN cDNA 4930552P06 gene. The transcript is spliced from 3 exons. The record is from RefSeq and is a predicted model, not a curated record. Lineage: Eukaryota; Metazoa; Chordata; Mammalia; Rodentia; Muridae.
UUUCUUUUACCUGGCUUUUAAAAACACAGAACAACAACCUUGGCCUACGGAGUCUAAGCUGCAAGCAAUUACUAGCUAGCUGUGGGGUUGCCAGCCUUCCUGGCCUUUCCUCAAACCCCAUGACCCACCCCACAGCUCUGGGUGGCCCUGGUGGAAGAGCAGGAUAGCACCACCCUGUACCUGGGCAGGUGUACUUAGAAGGCACCGUCUCUCGGUCUGGGCUACUUCCCUCAGAUUUCCCAGGAGACGGGAAUCUGCUCCAGGGACGGACACACACACACACACACACACACACACACACACACACACCAGCUGCAGUUCACAUAGUUCUUGGAUGCUGUGCCCUCAUGUGCCCACACACAUUCACUAUACACCUGUAAAGUGUCUUAAGGUACAGGGCAUUUCCCCAGCUGAUGGACAGCAUGGGAAAUGGCACACAUGUGCCCUCUGCCCUCUACAGGUCACACACUAACUAGUGAGGCCACACAGACACCAAUUCAGCGAGCAGACAAGGUCAGACAGGGUAAUAUGAUUAGGAAAACCGCUGGCCUUGUGAUGUGACAAACUAAGAUGACCUUUGUCAGGGAGGUGGCUGGGAGUGAAAAGAGACACCUUGCCGCCCCGCCCCACCCCCACCAUGGUAGGCUCCAGAGUUCUAGAACUCUAUCUAAUUAGGGGAACAGUCACUUCAAAGGUCCCAGCCCAAAUGUGGCAGAAGGUGAGUGAGUGCUGGGUCAGAGUGGACAAGGAAGAGUCCCAGCUGGCUCCAGCGAGCCUCCCUCCCCCUUCCCUGUCAGGGGCGCCUCCAGGUACAGAGAAAGCCAGACUAACCACUACUAGUCUGGGCGAGCUGUCAGCCAUCUGGGUCAAAUGAUGAACUGUGAGAUGAACAAGACUUGGAACCAAGUUCUUUCUUCAAGGUGUCCAGAAGAUCCCACCUCAGCCCUGCAGGGCAAUGUGUGGAUACCGGAGGAGUGAACACUAGGUUGGGAAGAAGGGAAGCAUCGACCACGGGCAGCCUCCUCUCACGGACAGUGCCACCGAGACCUUCUGUCAGCAGCCUCAUGCUUGGCUAGGGCUGCACGGGAGACGUGAACAGCACCAGGAGAGCCCUCCAUCCCCACAAGAUUGAGAAACCGAGGCACAGCAUUGUGCAACUCUUCUGUGCCACUUGGAUUGGAAGCUGAAUCCAGAGAGAGGGGCAGAGAUGGCUUUCAACACUGGGACAGGCAAGAGAGACGACAAGAUGAAGCUUAGAUGCCUCUGAGGUUCUAGGCACCAGCAUGAUGUUCAGGGUCGCUUGGGAAGUGUGGAUCUGGCUCUCGGGGCCCAUCACGGGGGCCUUGAAACAGUCACAUAGUACUUAGAGCAUGAAGCAGCUACCAUAAAAUAUCUUUUCACUCCAAUUACUUUUCAGACUAUUUUUUCUAAUUCACUUCCUGCAAAAUCUGACAGAUUAGGUAAAUAUGUCUUUUUUAUAAAUGAAGCACGUUAAAAUAGCUAAAUAGUUCCUGUCUAAUUAUCUCUAGCGUCUUGAAGGGUUCUGUCUUCUACAUAGCC